RNAcentral lists this transfer RNA (77 nucleotides) under Hyphomonadaceae bacterium. RNAcentral describes it as "tRNA-His". It matches the Rfam family "tRNA". From Rfam's summary of the family: Transfer RNA (tRNA) molecules are approximately 80 nucleotides in length. Their secondary structure includes four short double-helical elements and three loops (D, anti-codon, and T loops). Lineage: Bacteria; Pseudomonadati; Pseudomonadota; Alphaproteobacteria; Hyphomonadales; Hyphomonadaceae. The record is from RNAcentral.
GCCGCCUUAGCUCAGUUGGUUAGAGCGCUUGCUUGUGGCGCAAGAGGCCCCUGGUUCGAAUCCAGGAGGCGGUACCA